GUGUCAGCAGCCGCGGUAAUACGGAGGGGGCGAGCGUUAUUCGGAAUUAUUGGGCGUAAAGGGCGCGUAGGCGGCUUGGCAAGUCAAAGGUGAAAUCCCUCGGCUCAACUGAGGAACUGCCUUUGAAACUGCCUGGCUUGAGGCCGGGAGGGGGUAGCGGAAUUCCCAGUGUAGCGGUGAAAUGCGUAGAUAUUGGGAGGAACACCAGUGGCGAAGGCGGCUACCUGGACCGGUUCUGACGCUGAUGCGCGAAAGCGUGGGUAGCAAACAGGAUUAGAUACCCUGGUAGUCC
This 292-nucleotide ribosomal RNA is filed under the name uncultured bacterium. Its description in RNAcentral is "partial 16S ribosomal RNA". It matches the Rfam family "Bacterial small subunit ribosomal RNA", at positions 505 to 796 of the family's 1533-position model. The record is from RNAcentral.